CUCUCGGCAAUGGAUAUCUCGGCUCUCGCAUCGAUGAAGAACGUAGCGAAAUGCGAUACCUGGUGUGAAUUGCAGAAUCCCGUGAACCAUCGAGUCUUUGAACGCAAGUUGCGCUCGAGGCCAUCCGGCUAAGGGCACGCCUACUUGGGCAUCAC
This 155-nucleotide ribosomal RNA is filed under the name Musa schizocarpa. RNAcentral's name for it is "5.8S ribosomal RNA". It matches the Rfam family "5.8S ribosomal RNA". Rfam says of the family: 5.8S ribosomal RNA (5.8S rRNA) is a component of the large subunit of the eukaryotic ribosome. It is transcribed by RNA polymerase I as part of the 45S precursor that also contains 18S and 28S rRNA. Lineage: Eukaryota; Viridiplantae; Streptophyta; Magnoliopsida; Zingiberales; Musaceae. The record is from RNAcentral.